Long non-coding RNA from Centruroides sculpturatus (bark scorpion), 4237 nucleotides. RefSeq lists it as uncharacterized. The record is from RefSeq and is a predicted model, not a curated record. The transcript has 3 exons. Lineage: Eukaryota; Metazoa; Arthropoda; Arachnida; Scorpiones; Buthidae.
AGGUUGUUGAGGAUGGUUACCAAUUUUUCCAGAAGAGACAGCUUGUUACUUUAUUCAGUGCUCCAAAUUACUGUGGCGAAUUUGACAACGCAGGAGCAAUUAUGAUUGUUUCAGAAGAUUUAACAUGUUGGUUCAGUAUCCUGCCCCCUGACAAAACAAAACUUGUAAUGAGAACAACUAAUAGAAAAGACUGAAUUAUUUUUAAAAGUUGGAAUUCAUAUCUUCUUUAAUUUAUGGUCAAGUAAAAUAAAGAUUUGUACAGUUUUUGCUUCCCAGACAACUUCAGAAUAGAAAAAAAACAGACGUAUGUGCAAUUUGCAUGUACGAUGAAAUCAAAACUAUUUCCAUUCUUUAUGGGAAAAGUAUAUUGUAUACUGUAUAUACAUAAAAAAAAAACUUCUAUUCAGUGACAGAUUUUGAAUAAAUUUGUGCACAUUAGAUAUUUAUAAGUUUAUAAUAAAAAGAUGAGAAAGUACUUGCUAUAUAAUGAAAUUAAAUAUAUAUAUAAGUUUUGCAAAUGUAAUAAAAUGUUUGUCAUUCUUUGUUACUUCUGUGAAUUGCAUCAUCUGUUGUAAAUGUCAAUAUUGGUUUCUGUUGAAGUUAUACGUGAAUUUCUAUCAAACAAUAAUCCAUUGGCAUUUGUAUAUUAUAUAUAUAUAUAAAUACAUACAUAUAUAUAAUUUAUAUGUAUAUAUAUGUUGUAGAAAAUAUAAGUAAAAUUUAGUUUGUGUUAUAAAUUUUUAUUAUUAUAAUUAAACAAUACAAAAAUAAUCAGCCUGUAAAGGAAUUUUAACAUUUAUAAGUGCUUUUUGGAACAUCUUCAAAACCUCAUUUAAAUUAAUUUUAUAAAUUAAGAUUAGAGUGUUCACAUUUUAAUUUAGAGGAUGCUUCUAAAGACAGAGCAAUAGAUGUUUUUAAAUGCCAAAAUUCUAGUAACCAGUUGAUUAUUUAUUAAAUAUAAUAUAAUAUAAAACUGUUUGAAGAACAAAGUAAUUAUAUAUUAUUUUACUGAUGUUGUGAGGAAAGUACUGUAUUAAUGAAAGUUUUAAAUUUGUCUUGUAAUCUUAUUAUGAUCACAUUUAAGAUAUUUUAAUAGUGUAACUUUAAAAGAAAAGAUAUAUGAAUACUGUAAUUGUUAUUAAAUUUACAGUAGUUAUCUCUUCUUUUAACUGUCUUCUUAUAAUCCAAUUCAUACUGUAUUUCUUGGGGGGAAAGAAAAUUCAAGUGAUUUUGAGCUCAAUGUCCAUUAUCUGGGAGCGACGAAAGACAACACCAGCAGUGAUCUGUCAUCUGCUGACCUUAUUUCUCUUAUUGAUAUCCGAUGAUAGGCAUGUAGCAUGAAAGCACUCGACUGUCCUAAUAUAUUUUCACUCCAAAAGAGCAGUUUAAAUUGGAUUUAUAUAUGAGGAGCUAACUUAACAGGUGUGUUAUCAAUAUAAUCAAUGUAACCAAUGUAAAUACCUUCUCAACUCAUCUUGGAAAAGAUAGUUUCAGAAUUAAUAGCAAGAUUCUAGCAUGUCUUUAAAACUGUUUUAUUAUAUGAUUAAUAAUUUAAAAUUUUUACAUAUUCCUAAAUUCAAGAAAUUUAUUAUUUUUUUUAGUGAAUUUAUCUGUUGAAUUUUAAAUAAGAUUUUUUAAACUUAUUUCUUAGUACAACUUACAAAAAAAAAAGUUUUUACCCAUAGAAUCAUGGUUUUCACAUUUAAUCUUCAUAAAAUCUUCUAUGAAUUUACUGUAUAGUAAUUAAAAAAUAUUAAGUUAUAAAAAUCUAGCAUAGCUUUUUGUAGAUCAAUGCCAAUGGAUUAAAAUAUUUUUAAUUGUAAAUAUUAUAUUAUUAUUGAAAUAAGAUAAAUAUUAUUAUUUAUUUUAAUUAAAAUAAUUUUACAGAAUGAUACAUUAAAAUGUGCCUAGAUAAAAUCAAAUGUUGAAAGAUAUGAAAAACAGUCAAUGAAAAUAAAUAUUUUUUACAAAUAUUUGAUUAUAAUAAACAUGAACAAAAUCAGUUUUAAAUUUUCAUUAAUUUUUUAAAAUAUUUAUUUGCACAAUCUUAACUUGAUGUACAGAAAUCUAUGUAUUGUAUCAAGACUAACCUGCUAUUUGGGAAGAAUUAAAAAAGAAAAGAAAGAUAUAAAUGCAGCUCUGAAUGAGGUGGUUGAGAGUUUAUCAGAGCUGGAGACCAUACCUGUAGGAUUAAAAAAAAAGUCAAAAGACCCAAUGGUCUACAAAUGCCUUUCAUGAGAUAGGCCAAUUUUGGGGGGCUACAUCUGGAAUUUUGAAGACCCCAAAAAUGGGGUAAAAUUUAAAAGUGAAAAAAUCCAGAACUAUUUCUCAAAAUAACACUAAAAAUGAACUGUUUUCUACUUUAUUAGAUACUUUUAAAAGCUCAUAAAACACAAGAAAAGCCAUUGCACCAACUACAACUGGGAUACAAGUGGAGUCAUUAAGCCUCUCUGUUAAGCCUAUUGUGUGUUUAAACAAGCAGCUACCACAAAACAAUAUCUCACCAAGGGUCACAAUUAGAAGUAUGGUUCCUUUGACUUUUUUGGUUGUCUACGGGAUCAGAAACCACUCAUUCAGAUCUGUAGUUUUACCAAACAGAAUGCCUACAACCUACAUUGUAAAAAUUAGUAAACUAUGUUAUGAAAACAAUACAUUUUUUAAAAUUCCACAUUUUUAAAAAUCCUGCACUGGAUUGGGCCUGUACUGUAUGCACUGUAUAUAUCAGCAAUGUACUGUACAUAUAUAUUAAUUGUCCAUUAAAUCUAAACUCAAUCUAAUGACAAAUAAUAAAAAUGUUAAUGGUAUGAAGAAUAAAUAUACUGUUUUUGACAGAAACUGACUCUUUCUUUAUCUGAAAUGAUAUUGAUUUAAAUUCUACAGAGUUGAUAGAUUAAAUCCAAUUCAAAUUGAUCUUCUUGAAGAAAAAACUUUUUAAUAAACCCAAGUGCUUUGAGAUUCUAUAUGAUCAGGAGUCAACAAGAAAAAUUUCUUGCUGAUUCCCUAUGAGAGACUUUCGUCCAAAAGCACUUAGAUUUUCUAAACAGAUUUUAUUCUAAAAGCAGUUUAAAUUGGAUUUAUGUUUGAGGAACUUCCUUAAGUAUGCUGUCUAUAGAUGAAAUUUCAGAAUUCCUAUAAUAAAAUAUUUAUAGACUGGUAUAGCCUAUAUAGAAUUCAUGUAACUGUGAAUAUUGAAAUAUUUUCAAGAAAUAUCAAAAUAUAAAAGUAAUUUAUUUUCUUAUAAAUGUUAAUAAUGUUUCAUUUCUAAAAAAAAAUAAAUACAAAGAUAUAGUUUCUCUAACAUGGCUACAAGCUGAUAUGCUCAACUUUAGGAGCAUAUGAACUAAAAAACAUUAUUAUUUUCAAUGCCAUGACAAAAUUGUAGAACAUCAGAAAUGCCUAAAAUUAUUAUUUAUUCUUUGAUACAUUCUAAUUUUGAGGAAAAUAUCAUUUAUAGAUGCAACAGCUUCAGAACCAGACAUACAAUUAAAAUGUAUAGCAAGUGUUUCUUAACAAUCAUCAGUAGGUUCUUGAAAACUGCAACAUAAAGAAACCAAUUUUACUGUAGAAUAAUUGAUAAAAACAAAAAUAUAAUUCUGUUAACUCAAGAAAUAUUUCAAAAGCUGGAAGUUUUUUUAUUCAAUAACGUGUAAUGAACCUUAAACACUCUUCCAGCAGGAAAAUGUCUCCAUCAAAGACACAGGCCUUUGAUGAAGGCCAAAAAUAUUUGCUGUUGUGAAAAUUAUGAAACAUUUCCUGCUUAAGGAUCACUACUGGAUGAAUUCUGUUAGCAUUACUCUAAUUGGAGCAUAUUUGCUACCUCUGGUAUUUAUUUCCACCACACAGAAUCAGUUUUACUAUUUAUAAUGAAAAUUCAACAACAAUAGUUGCAAAUGAUUGCAAAUGUACUUGUAUUUUUCCUUAGUAAUAUUGUAAUGAAACGAUCUUAAGUGAGAACUUGCUGUAUUCAUGCAACAUCUUUAAAUGAGUUAUAUGCAGAAAAAUGUCAUAAGAGAAUGGACUUUCUUCUCAAAUUUAUAAUCAUGAAAAGAAAUCAAACGUUUUUAUAUUUCUAUUUAUAAUUGGAUUCAGUCAUUCAUAUUCCCAAUAAUUCUUGAAGUUAAAAAUUGCUUGAAUAUCAAAAUUAAAUCCAGAAUCAAAAGACAAAAUUUACCAGCCUAAAUUUAAUACAGUAAAAAUAAACAAUAUGACAUUUUUAAUAAAAAUAUUUAUAAUUUCU